AACGCACGAGACCUGCGGACCUGCGGAAGGAUCAUUAGAUAAGUGGCCCUUGGGGCCGCAAGGGAUACGGGAACCCUAAAAGCCGUGACUACCUUGUUUUUUUAGAACCCCUGUUUCCUCGGUGGGCUAGCCCACCGAUAGGGACACUAUUACAAACCCUCUGUAUAAAGCAGUUCUGUCUGAUACUAAAAUAAUCUUCAAAACUUUCAACAACGGAUCUCUAGAUCGGAAGAGCACACG
This 240-nucleotide unclassified non-coding RNA is filed under the name soil metagenome. RNAcentral's name for it is "partial contains 5.8S ribosomal RNA, internal transcribed spacer 2, and large subunit ribosomal RNA". The record is from RNAcentral.